This is a long non-coding RNA of Neopsephotus bourkii (Bourke's parrot), 1613 nucleotides long. RefSeq lists it as uncharacterized. The record is from RefSeq and is a predicted model, not a curated record. The transcript is spliced from 3 exons. NCBI's taxonomy places the organism in Eukaryota, Metazoa, Chordata, Aves, Psittaciformes, Psittacidae.
GGGUGCGGGUCCCGGCAGCGGCGGCAGCAGCCUUGUUGCUGCUGUUGUCUGCAUGAGGUCAUUCAGAGCCAGACUAGGGGAAAUCCAGUGAAGACUGCUGGGAUGCCUUCCAUCUUGUACCUGCAUACCAGGAACUGGAUCAUAUGAUGGUUACCCAUGGGCUGAAGGGUGUGCAGAUUGAGAGCAAGGGCCGCCUGUCUCAGAGGAGGACUAUGGCAGCUACACCAGUGUGUGGCCACAAACAAACUGGGCAACACCAAUACCAGCAUCAUCCUCUACGGUAGGUGUCCUGGUUUCUUUUUGCAGCAAGGUGUCAUAAAGAGGAGGAAGAAGGAGAAGAGAAGGAGGAAGAAGAAGAAGAGGAGGAGGAGGAGGAAGAAGAGGAGGAGUGGCCAGUGAUGGAAGGGUGUGGGUUUUAUUUAGCAGUGCCAACCCAACAAGGUGCCAGAUGGCACAAGCUCUGAGCUGUGAGGAUACAUCAGAGGAUGACAAGGAGACCUGCAUUGGUCCAUGCAGGAGGGCACUGCUUGGCACUUCUUGGUGGCAGUCACCUUGGGUGUUUAGGGAUGAGUAGCAAAUGGUGAAGAGACAGACAGGACAUCAUUGGAAUGCAGGCCCAAGGAGUGGCCCCAUGCAGGUAAGGAUACACUCUGGGGACACAGUGUAGGGUAUUUGCAGGUUGUCCUAUCGGGAAGGAUACAGGCAGUAGUUAAAGGGCGCAGGCAGUGGCAGGUUGGGAAGCAUAGGUGUCAAGUGACAUAGUUGUCAAGUUGGGUAUUGCAGGUGUCAGGCUGAGUGGUUUAGAUGGCAAUUGAGGAAGAGUAGGUGGCAGUUUGGCUAGUGUAGGUGUUAGCUUGUGUAAUAAAGAUGUUAGGUUUGGUAGUGUCAGUGUCACUAGGUAUUAUAGGUGUCAGGUUGGAUACUGCUGGUGGCACUUUGCGAGCUAUUGGUAUUAGGUCAGGUCUACAGGUGGCACUUUGGGAACAGUAGGUGUUAGGAUGCGUAGUGUAGGUGGCACUUGAGGUAGCAUAGGCAUUAGAUUGGUUCUCAUAGGUGGCACUUUCAGUACUAGGUGUUAAGUGUUAGGUUGGAUAUCAUAGAUAGUAUAUUGAGUAUAGUAGGUGUCAGGCUGAGUGGAGUAGGUGGCACUUGAGGUGGCGUUAGAUUGGAAAUCAUAGGUGUUAGGCUGGAUGCUGUUGGUGGCACUUUGGGUAGUAUAGAUGUUAGGUUGGAUGCUGUAGGUGACACUUUGGGUACUAUGGGUGUUAGGCUGGGUAGAGUAGGUGUCAGGGUGGGUAGUGUACGUGGCACUUCAAAUAUUGUAGGAGACAGGCCUGGUAGCAUAGGUGGCACAUUAGGUAGUGUUGGUGGCACUUGAGUUGGCCUUAGGUUGGAUAUCAUAGGUGUUAGGUUGGGUAGUCUCAGUGUUAUCUUGGGAACUGCAGGUGUUAAGUUAGGUAUCAUAAGUGGUACUUAAGGAACCGUAGGUGUUAGGCUGGGUAUCAGAGGUGGCACUUUGGGAACCAUAGGUGGUAGGCUGGGUAUCAUAAGUUGUACUUAGGGAACAAUACGUGUUAGGUUGGGUAUCAUAGGUGGCAGUUAGGGAACAUAGG